This 1710-nucleotide long non-coding RNA is filed under the name Amphimedon queenslandica. RNAcentral describes it as "uncharacterized LOC100631994". Lineage: Eukaryota; Metazoa; Porifera; Demospongiae; Haplosclerida; Niphatidae. The record is from RNAcentral.
UGAACCAGCAACACAGUAUUGUCAUUAUUGUUGUUAUUAUCACUGUUAUUCAUUGUUGUCAGAUUCCCUCAUUCCGAAACUGAAAUGGUUAGCAUGUGUAUCACAGAUGUUACAGACAUAGAGGAAAGCGUAUUGUCUCCUAGGUUUGGACUCAAAGGAAAAGUUGAUGCAACUGUAAAAUAAAAAUUACUGAUUUUACUCGUCAAACCACUGAGCAUUUGGUUCCCCUGGAAGUUAAGACUGGACAGAUGAAUGCCAAAUAUGGCGUCAUUCAGCACCGGGCUCAAGUGCUGCUCUAUUGUUUGAUGCUGUGUGACAGUCAUGUGGAGACUGUACCUGCUGGACUAUUGUAUUAUAUGAAAUCGAAAGAGACCCUCUCUGUAUUGGCCAGAGACAAUGAGAUAAGAGCUUUGUUGAUAGCAAGGAAUCAUUUGGCUCGUUACCAUGGCAACCACUGGGAUCAUGUGACCUUGCCAGAGAUGCUUAGAAACCCAAGAGUCUGUCAACACUGUCCUCGCUUGAAAGAGUAUAGCCUUUACCACAAGGUGUUUGAGAAUGAUAUGGCAGAGUCUUCAGGUUUCAGGGAUCAUUAUCCGUUGGUGCUUGAUCAAAUGAGUCCGCUCUGUGUUGACUAGCUCCUAUCGUCAUUGAGUUUGGUGAUGGAAGAAAUGAGUUAUGAGCAAUCAGAGUCAAUCAAAGAGGCAACCUGGCGGACUACAGUUCGUGAUAGAGUUAGGGAAGGCAGUUGUGUCAAUAAUUUGUUGUCUUGCCGACCUGAGGCUCUUAAUGAAAUGUCUAGUGGUAAUUUAAAAGUGAAGCAAACCUUCCUGAGGCAAGGAAAUGAAUCCAAUUCUCAUUUAUUCAGUAUGACAGGAUACUUGUUAGUCAUGAUGAUAUUAAUUGGUCUGUUGCUAUGGGUUACAUAAUGAAUAUUAAUGAGCAAUCGAUUGUUCUAGCAUUGGACAAGUCUGUCUCUGUUGGUCAGUCGUACACUAUUGAUCAAACUGCUGGUUAAUUUAGCACUCUAAUCCUGUCAACUUUAGCAGAAGUUUGUACCUCUGAUGGUGAAAGGGAUCAACAAUUAAGAGAGCUAGUGAUUGAUUUGAGGGAGCCAAGGUUCUGUGAAGGAAAGGUAAAUAUACUGUCAUCAAGUGAGGAGUCUUUGCUAGCGACUUUGAAUAAGCAACAAAGACAAUGCAUUGAAAGUGCUCUUUCUGCUAAGGAUUAUUCUCUAGUUUUGGGUAUGCUAGGGACUGGAAAGACGACAGCUAUUGCCUGUCUUGUACAAAUACCAGUUGCCCGGGAAUUAGUGUAUUACUGACCUCAUUCACUAACUCAGCUGUUGACAAUGUACUAAUGAAACUAAUAGAAAACGGUUUCAAAGAUAUCAUUAGAGUCGGUUCACUUGGGUGUGCCCAUCCUCAAGUUAAUUGUUAUAAUCUUUCUGAGCUAGUGAAAGAUUCCUCCUCCAUGUAAGAAAUUAAGGAAAUCUACAAGCAAAAAUCUUGGUAGGUGCUACAUGUCACAGUGUGGAUCACCCUCUCUGUACCAAUAAAUUCUUUGAUUAUUGUAUUGUCGAUGAAGCCUCUCAGAUUCCUCUCCCCCUCUCUCUCUCACUCCUCUAAGACUAGCAUCUCGUUUUGUACUUGUUGGAGACUAUUAUUAGCUGCCACCUUUAGUGAGAUUGUCAGUACUCAAGUAAGAAUUAUA